This 301-nucleotide ribosomal RNA is filed under the name uncultured bacterium. RNAcentral's name for it is "partial 16S ribosomal RNA". It matches the Rfam family "Bacterial small subunit ribosomal RNA", at positions 509 to 807 of the family's 1533-position model. The record is from RNAcentral.
CAGUAGCCGCGGUAAUACGAAGGGGGCUAGCGUUGCUCGGAAUGACUGGGCGUAAAGGGCGCGUAGGCGGUUGGUACAGUCAGAUGUGAAAUUCCUGGGCUUAACCUGGGGGCUGCAUUUGAUACGUGCUAGCUUGAGUGGGGAAGAGGGUCGUGGAAUUCCCAGUGUAGAGGUGAAAUUCGUAGAUAUUGGGAAGAACACCGGUGGCGAAGGCGGCGACCUGGUCCUUUACUGACGCUGAGGCACGAAAGCGUGGGGAGCAAACAGGAUUAGAUACCCCCGUAGUCCCUGUCUCUUAUAC